UGACACGGUAAUUAACAACUUGCAGUUAUUUUCCAUGAACAGUUUUAAUCAAUUUUAAAAAGUAAAUUAUCACUGAUAUUCGAUAUAUUUAUUAUUGAUUUAAUUAAACUACUUGUAUCUUCUUUCAAUAAAAAACACGUGUUAUGUUACAAUUUUUAUCGCUAGUCAACACUAUACUAGAACUGCAUAACAUAACCGGAAAUAAACAUCCGACUCCAUACACAUUUAUCGGGAUUAUUCUUCGUUGAAUUCUUAAAUUCGUGGUUCGCUGUGACCCACGAAACCCACGAAAAUUGGUAUACCACGAAUAAAAAU
RNAcentral lists this long non-coding RNA (315 nucleotides) under Mytilus galloprovincialis (Mediterranean mussel). Lineage: Eukaryota; Metazoa; Mollusca; Bivalvia; Mytilida; Mytilidae. The record is from RNAcentral.